RNAcentral lists this transfer RNA (103 nucleotides) under Phanerochaete carnosa HHB-10118-sp. It matches the Rfam family "tRNA". From Rfam's summary of the family: Transfer RNA (tRNA) molecules are approximately 80 nucleotides in length. Lineage: Eukaryota; Fungi; Basidiomycota; Agaricomycetes; Polyporales; Phanerochaetaceae. The record is from Rfam by way of RNAcentral.
GGCCUGGUGGUCUAGUGGUAUGAUUCCUUCUUAGGGUGGUUGUGGUCUCACAGUCACGUGACUCUCAUGGAGGAGGUCCCGGGUUCGAUCCCCGGCUAGGCCC